Molecule: ribosomal RNA, 253 nt
Filed under: uncultured bacterium
Lineage: Bacteria
Description: partial 16S ribosomal RNA
Rfam family: Bacterial small subunit ribosomal RNA
Source: RNAcentral
UACGGAGGGUGCAAGCGUUGCUCGGAAUUAUUGGGCGUAAAGGGUAGGUAGGUGGUCUCAUUUGUCUGGGGUGAAAGCCUUGAGCUUAACUCAAGAAGUGCCUCAGAAACGGUGAGACUAGAGUCCUGGAGAGGGUCGUGGAAUUCCCGGUGUAGCGGUGAAAUGCGUAGAGAUCGGGAGGAACACCAGAGGCGAAGGCGGCGACCUGGACAGGCACUGACACUCAACUACGAAAGCGUGGGGAGCAAACAGG